AACGAACGCUGGCGGCAUGCCUAACACAUGCAAGUCGAACGAGACCUCCGGGUCUAGCGGCGCACGGGUGCGUAACGCGUGGGAACUUGCACUUAGGUUCGGAACAACUUCCCGAAAGGGGUGCUAAUACCGGAUAAUGUCUUCGGACCAAAGAUUUAUCGCCUUUGGAUGGGCCCGCGUUGGAUUAGCUAGUUGGUAGGGUAAAAGCCUACCAAGGCGACGAUCCAUAGCUGGUCCUAGAGGAUGAUCAGCCACACUGGGACUGAGACACGGCCCAGACUCAUACGGGAGGCAGCAGUGGGGAAUAUUGGGCGAUGGGCGGAAGCCUGAUCCAGCAAUGCCGCGUGAGUGAUGAAGGCCUGAGGGUUGUAAAGCUCUUUUACCCGGGAUGAUAAUGACAGUACCGGGAGAAUAAGCUCCGGCUAACUCCGUG
Molecule: ribosomal RNA, 433 nt
Filed under: uncultured bacterium
Lineage: Bacteria
Description: partial 16S ribosomal RNA
Rfam family: Bacterial small subunit ribosomal RNA
Source: RNAcentral